MicroRNA precursor from Oreochromis aureus, 62 nucleotides. Lineage: Eukaryota; Metazoa; Chordata; Actinopteri; Cichliformes; Cichlidae. The record is from Ensembl.
AGUUUCUGGCUGAAGGAGCUCCAAGCUCCAUCAACUUGGACUCUCACAGCUACGAACGCACC